AUUGAACGCUGGCGGCAUGCUUUACACAUGCAAGUCGAACGGCAGCACAGGGAGCUUGCUCCUGGGUGGCGAGUGGCGGACGGGUGAGUAAUGUAUCGGAACGUGCCUGGUAGGGGGGGAUAACUACUCGAAAGAGUGGCUAAUACCGCAUGAGAUCUUUGGAUGACAGCGGGGGACCUUCAGGCCUCGUGCUACUGGAGCGGCCGGUAUCAGAUUAGGUUGUUGGUGGGGUAAAGGCCUACCAAGCCUGCGAUCUGUAGCUGGUCUGAGAGGACGACCAGCCACACUGGGACUGAGACACGGCCCAGACUCCUACGGGAGGCAGCAGUGGGGAAUUUUGGACAAUGGGCGCAAGCCUGAUCCAGCAAUGCCGCGUGCAGGACGAAGGCCUUCGGGUUGUAAACUGCUUUUGUACGGAACGAACAGUCUCUGGCUAAUAUCUAGAGAUCAUGACGGUACUGAAAGAAUAAGCACCGGCUAACUACGUG
Molecule: ribosomal RNA, 488 nt
Filed under: uncultured bacterium
Lineage: Bacteria
Description: partial 16S ribosomal RNA
Rfam family: Bacterial small subunit ribosomal RNA
Source: RNAcentral